Molecule: long non-coding RNA, 424 nt
Organism: Neoarius graeffei (lesser salmon catfish)
Lineage: Eukaryota; Metazoa; Chordata; Actinopteri; Siluriformes; Ariidae
Exons: 3
Source: RefSeq, a predicted model, not a curated record
GUGGCAGUAAUGCACUAGAGCGCCAUUCAGUAGAAGAAAGAAGAAGCAGCGGUUUUAGCUCAGCUGGGGCAUUAAACGCUCUUCCGUUUCACUCCAUGAAGGGCACAGUGAGGUGAAAACUGCAGCUUCAUGUCCUUGUGAGUUUAUAUUACCGUUUGCCAUAAAGGAGAAACGGACCGAGAUUGAACGGACGCACAUGAAAUAAAGACCUGUCUGGACCAAGUCAGAAAAUGAUGCUAUUUCCAUCCCCCUGCAAAAGACAAAGCUGUCUGGUGUUCUCAGUGCAGUGUUAUCUGUAAAAACAGUGAUCGAGUUGGUGUUUAUUUGCAGCAGAUCCAUGGAGUACCUCAAGGUAUUUGUUUAAUUGGCUGUUUUGUUUUUUGGACUCUCAAUUUCAAAAGGAAAUUUUGAAGGAAAAAAAAUA